GCCCUUGAGUUUGAUCCUGGCUCAGAUUGAACGCUGGCGGCGUGCUUAACACAUGCAAGUCGUGCGAGAAAGGGGACUUCGGUUCCUGAGUAGAGCGGCGCACGGGUGAGUAACGCGUGGGUGAUCUACCCGGAAGUCUGGGAUAACGGUGGGAAACUGCCGCUAAUACCGGUUAAUCUUCCAAUUCGAAUUGGAGGGAAAGACGGCCUCUGCUUGCAAGCUGUCGCUUUCGGAUGAGCCCGCGUCCCAUUAGCUAGUUGGCGGGGUAACGGCCCACCAAGGCAACGAUGGGUAGCUGGUCUGAGAGGAUGAUCAGCCACACUGGGACUGAAACACGGCCCAGACUCCUACGGGAGGCAGCAGUGGGGAAUAUUGCGCAAUGGGGGAAACCCUGACGCAGCGACGCCGUGUGAGGGAAGAAGGCCUUCGGGUCGUAAACCUCUGUCGGGAGGGAAGAACCGCCGGGUUCCGAACAGGGACCCGGCCUGACGGUACCUCCGGAGGAAGCGCCGGCUAACUCCGUGCCAGCAGCCGCGGUAAUACGGAGGGCGCAAGCGUUAAUCGGAAUCACUGGGCGUAAAGCGCGCGUAGGCGGCCAGAUAAGUCGGGCGUGAAAG
RNAcentral lists this ribosomal RNA (617 nucleotides) under uncultured bacterium. RNAcentral's name for it is "bacterial SSU rRNA". It matches the Rfam family "Bacterial small subunit ribosomal RNA", at positions 1 to 600 of the family's 1533-position model. The record is from RNAcentral.